AACAUGAGCAAAAGAUACAAAGCAACAUUUCACUGGAGAAGAUAUACAGAUUGCAAAUAAGCACAUGAAAAGAUGUUUGAUACCAUUAGGGAAACGCUUCUUUAAACCAGGAGAUAUCACCACGUGUUAGAAUCAACAAAAUAAGGCCAGGCAUGGUGGCUCACACCUGUAAUCCCAACACUUUGGGAGGCUGGGGCAGGCAGAUCACAUGAGAUCAGGAAUUCAAGACCAACCUGGCCAACAUGGCAAAACCCUGUCUCUGCUGAAAACACAAAAAUUAGCCAGGUGUGGUGGCACACGCCUGUAGUCCUAGCACCUUGGGAGGCUGAGGCAAGAUAAUUGCUUAAACCCAGGAGACGGAGGUUGCAGUAAGCUGAGAUCAUGCCACUGCGCUCCAGCCUGGGCGACAGAGCAAGAUUAUGUCUCAAAAAAAAAAAAAAAAAAAAGAAUCACCAAAAUAAAAAAUAGUAACAAUACUAUUGUCAAGGAUGCAAAGGAACUGUACCACUCAAUCACUGCUGUGAGAAUUUAAAGUGGUGCAGCCACUCUGGGAAACAGCUUGGCUGUUUUUUUUUAUGACUGAAUGUGCAACUACUAUAUGAUGCAGUAAUUUCAUUUUUGCACAUUUAUCCCGGAGAAAUGAAAACAUAUAUUCACACAAAACCUGUAUAUGAAUGCUAAUAAAAGUCAAUUGGCCAGGUGUGGUGGCUCAUGCCUGUAAUCCCAGCACUUUGGGAGGCUGAGGCAGUGGAUCACCUGAGGUCAGGAGUUUGAGACCAGCCUGGCCAACGUGGUGAAAACUCGUCUCUACUAAAAAUACAGCAAUUAGCUGGGUGUAAUAGUAGCCACCUGUAAUCCCAGCUACUGGGGAGGCUGAAGCAGAAGAACCUCUUGAACCCGGGAGGCAGAGGUUGCAGUGAGCUGAGAUCGUACCACUGCACUCCAGCCUGGGCGAUAGAGUGAGACUCUGUCUCAAAAAAUAAAAUAAAAUAAAUAAAAAGAUUAGAUAAUCUGCAAAGUUCCUGUGAGCGCUGUCAUUUUGUCACUCUGGUUUUUCAGAUUCUUCCCCUGGAGGCUGGAGUUUCCAGGAUGUCAAAAUUACCUCUGCUUGGGUGAGCUAUUUCAAGCAGCUGGGAUACCUGUGUCACUCCUGCUGUCUGCCAGUGACUGCCCAGGUGUCUGCUGGUUCCUCCCCAGGAGUAGGGAGGAACCAGGUGGGCUGGCUGGGAUGGGUGGAUAUUUAAAGACCAGGCCUUGGACGCUGCAGCACUUCUAUCUCUGCUUGAUGCCUGCUGCCACGUGGCUGGUCCUCCUCCUCCUGCUGUGGCUGAGCCUUGGGGUGAAGACAGGCUGGAGUGCAGUGGCGUGAUCUCAGCUCACUGCGACCUCUGCCUCCUGGGUUCAAGAGAUUCUCGUGCCUCAGCCUCCUGAGUAGCUGGGACUACAGGUGCAUGCCACCACACCCAGCUAAUUUUUGUAUUUUUAGUAGAGACGGGUUUCACUAUGCUGGCCAGGAUGGUCUCAAACUCCUGAACUCGUCAUCCACCCAUCUCAGUGUUCCCAAGUGCCGUGAUUACAGGUGUGAGCCACCCCACCCAGCCAACACUUGCUGUUUUAUUUUUUAUCUUAGCCGUCCUACUGGAUGUGGGGUGGUAUCUCAUUGUGGUUUGGAUUUGCAUUUCCUUAUGAUUAAUGAUGUUGAGUAUCUUUCAUGCUCACUGGCCACUUGUGUAUCUUCUUUGGAGAAAUGUCUAUUUAAAUCCUUUGUCCAGUUUUAAAUUUGAUUGACUUAUUUUUAUUUAUUUAUUUAUUUUGGAGGCAGAGUCUUGCUCUGUUGCCCAGGCUGGAGUGCAGUUGUGCAAUCUUGGCUCACUGCAACCUCCACCUCCUGGGUUCAAGCAAUUCUCCUGCCUCAGCCUCCUGAGUAGCUGGGACUAUAGGUGCAUGCUACCAAGCCCAGCUAAUUUUUGUGUUUUUAGUAGAGACGGGUUUCACCAUGUUGGCCAGGCUGGUGUUGAACUCCUGGCCUCAAGUGAUCUGCCUGCCUUGGUCUCCCAAAGUGCUGGGAUUACAGGCAUGAGCCACCGCACCCAGCCAGUUUCAGCUCUUACAUUUAGGUCUAUGGUCCAUUUUGAGUUAAUAUUUGUAUAUGGUUUGAGGUAGGAG
This 2166-nucleotide long non-coding RNA is filed under the name Homo sapiens (human). RNAcentral's name for it is "PREDICTED lncRNA (TCONS_00190046)". The record is from RNAcentral. Lineage: Eukaryota; Metazoa; Chordata; Mammalia; Primates; Hominidae.